AGACGGAGGGUCCUAGCGUUGUUCGGAAUGACUGGGCGUAAAGGGUACGUAGGCGGUUUGGUCAGUUAGAUGUGAAAGCCCAGGGCUCAACCUUGGAACUGCAUUUAAUACUGCCAAACUUGAGAUCGGAAGAGGAAAGUGGAAUUUCUAGUGUAGAGGUGAAAUUCGUAGAUAUUAGAAGGAACAUCAGAGGCGAAGGCGGCUUUCUGGUCCGAUACUGACGCUGAGGUACGAAAGCGUGGGGAGCAAACAGGAUUAGAAACCCUAGUAGUCC
RNAcentral lists this ribosomal RNA (274 nucleotides) under uncultured bacterium. RNAcentral describes it as "partial 16S ribosomal RNA". It matches the Rfam family "Bacterial small subunit ribosomal RNA", at positions 523 to 796 of the family's 1533-position model. The record is from RNAcentral.